UAGAGUUUGAUCCUGGCUCAGAUUGAACGCUGGCGGCAGGCCUAACACAUGCAAGUCGAACGGUAGCACAGAGAGCUUGCUCUCGGGUGACGAGUGGCGGACGGGUGAGUAAUGUCUGGGAAACUGCCUGAUGGAGGGGGAUAACUACUGGAAACGGUAGCUAAUACCGCAUAACGUCGCAAGACCAAAGAGGGGGACCUUCGGGCCUCUUGCCAUCAGAUGUGCCCAGAUGGGAUUAGCUAGUAGGUGGGGUAACGGCUCACCUAGGCGACGAUCCCUAGCUGGUCUGAGAGGAUGACCAGCCACACUGGAACUGAGACACGGUCCAGACUCCUACGGGAGGCAGCAGUGGGGAAUAUUGCACAAUGGGCGCAAGCCUGAUGCAGCCAUGCCGCGUGUAUGGAGAAGGCCUUCGGGUUGUAAAGUACUUUCAGCGGGGAGGAAGGUGUUGUGGUUAAUAACCACAGCAAUUGACGUUACCCGCAGAAGAAGCACCGGCUAACUCCGUGCCAGCAGCCGCGGUAAUACGGAGGGUGCAAGCGUUAAUCGGAAUUACUGGGCGUAAAGCGCACGCAGGCGGUCUGUCAAGUCGGAUGUGAAAUCCCCGGGCUCAACCUGGGAACUGCAUUCGAAACUGGCAGGCUAGAGUCUUGUAGAGGGGGGUAGAAUUCCAGGUGUAGCGGUGAAAUGCGUAGAGAUCUGGAGGAAUACCGGUGGCGAAGGCGGCCCCCUGGACAAAGACUGACGCUCAGGUGCGAAAGCGUGGGGAGCAAACAGGAUUAGAUACCCUGGUAGUCCACGCCGUAAACGAUGUCGACUUGGAGGUUGUGCCCUUGAGGCGUGGCUUCCGGAGCUAACGCGUUAAGUCGACCGCCUGGGGAGUACGGCCGCAAGGUUAAAACUCAAAUGAAUUGACGGGGGCCCGCACAAGCGGUGGAGCAUGUGGUUUAAUUCGAUGCAACGCGAAGAACCUUACCUACUCUUGACAUCCAGAGAACUUUCCAGAGAUGGAUUGGUGCCUUCGGGAACUCUGAGACAGGUGCUGCAUGGCUGUCGUCAGCUCGUGUUGUGAAAUGUUGGGUUAAGUCCCGCAACGAGCGCAACCCUUAUCCUUUGUUGCCAGCGGUCCGGCCGGGAACUCAAAGGAGACUGCCAGUGAUAAACUGGAGGAGGGUGGGGAUGACGUCAAGUCAUCAUGGCCCUUACGAGUAGGGCUACACACGUGCUACAAUGGCGCAUACAAAGAGAAGCGAACUCGCGAGAGCAAGCGGACCUCAUAAAGUGCGUCGUAGUCCGGAUUGGAGUCUGCAACUCGACUCCAUGAAGUCGGAAUCGCUAGUAAUCGUAGAUCAGAAUGCUACGGUGAAUACGUUCCCGGGCCUUGUACACACCGCCCGUCACACCAUGGGAGUGGGUUGCAAAAGAAGUAGGUAGCUUAACCUUCGGGAGGGCGCUUACCACUUUGUGAUUCAUGACUGGGGUGAAGUCGUAACAAGGUAGCCUCAGUCAGUCA
This 1513-nucleotide ribosomal RNA is filed under the name uncultured bacterium. Its description in RNAcentral is "bacterial SSU rRNA". It matches the Rfam family "Bacterial small subunit ribosomal RNA". The record is from RNAcentral.